Molecule: ribosomal RNA, 149 nt
Filed under: uncultured bacterium
Lineage: Bacteria
Description: partial 16S ribosomal RNA
Rfam family: Bacterial small subunit ribosomal RNA
Source: RNAcentral
AGCCUGAUGCAGCCNUGCCGCGUGUAUGAAGAAGGCCUUCGGGUUGUAAAGUACUUUCAGCAGUGAGGAAGGGGGUAUCGUUAAUAGCGGUAUCUUUUGACGUUAGCUGCAGAAGAAGCACCGGCUAACUCCGUGCCAGCAGCCGCGGU